This 734-nucleotide long non-coding RNA is filed under the name Zalophus californianus (California sea lion). Its description in RNAcentral is "lncRNA (ENSZCAG00015001571.1)". The record is from RNAcentral. Lineage: Eukaryota; Metazoa; Chordata; Mammalia; Carnivora; Otariidae.
GGGAACACGGAGCGCCAGGAGGAAGAGGAGGAAGGAGGGAGGAGCAUCACGAGCUUCCUGCCCGCGCUCCCGGCCCGCUGCGAGCAGGCGCCCUGGCCGCGUCGGCGUCUUCUUUCCAGCCCUCCGCCGCCGCCAAGGCACAGGCUCGCGUCUGGUCUGGGCGAACGGCCGGGCCCUUGGCGGGCGCCCUUCCCCCUCCUCGCCACGCUGCCGGUUUCGCCCUCCGCCCCGCCGCGCCUUCCCCGCCUCGGACGGGCGGGGCCCCAGCCGAGGCUCGUCUGUGGUGGAAAAAAACAGAAGAACUUGAAUUAUUCUCUGGAAAUUGCGUUCGCCAAUGAGUUUUGAAUAAAGCAUCUGGUGGACUGUUUUUACUUAAUUGGUCAUUGUUAACAAGCAUGGAGAUAAGAUUAGAAGUUUUAACCUCAACAAGCAUCAAGCAGAAAAAGCCCUGGCCACGAGUCUCCUGGUUGGGACAGGUAGGUUUUUCUUUCUUCAUACAGUACCAGCUGUAAUAAUGUGUUAAAUGUAUACUUUGCCUCUAAGCUAGAAUGUUCUAUGGUCUUAAACCACCAUCUUUAGAAGGAUCACGUGCUCACAGAACAGGAUUUUUGUGUUUGUUUUUGUUUUUUUACGGGAGCAAGUUAGCUUUUCCAGAAAGUUAAAUGGUCUAAAAGAAGUAUUUUACUUUCAAAAAAUUUUUUGUCUUAUUACGUUUAAGGUUGAGAUGGCAUAUA